Molecule: transfer RNA, 74 nt
Filed under: Corynebacterium diphtheriae
Lineage: Bacteria; Bacillati; Actinomycetota; Actinomycetes; Mycobacteriales; Corynebacteriaceae
Description: tRNA-Gly
Rfam family: tRNA
About the family: Transfer RNA (tRNA) molecules are approximately 80 nucleotides in length. Their secondary structure includes four short double-helical elements and three loops (D, anti-codon, and T loops).
Source: RNAcentral
GCCGAUGUAGCUCAAUGGUAGAACAUCAGCUUCCCAAGCUGAAUACGCGGGUUCGAUUCCCGUCAUCGGCUCCA